Molecule: long non-coding RNA, 1045 nt
Organism: Cyprinus carpio carpio
Lineage: Eukaryota; Metazoa; Chordata; Actinopteri; Cypriniformes; Cyprinidae
Source: Ensembl
CUCUUUCACAGACAGAUCUCUGUUUAGGAGCAGGUCCAGGCUGGUAAAGAGGUGACGGCUGUAACUGUCCAUCAGAUGAUCUAGCAGCCCAGCAUCUUUCAGUGCAGGUGUUAAUCGAAGCACCUUAUCAUUUAUCAUGCUCUGUGUUCUCUGAAAGUCCUGUAUCUGCUCCAACUGAGAUCCCCGUGGUCCCUCUGCUGGCAGCGUGGGAAAGUGGUUCUCCACAAACUGAUUUAUUUCUUGAAGGUACUCACAAAGCCAGUCUUGAGAAUAGUUGUUAUUCAGUUUGCUCAAUGUUUUCAACACCUCAACUGCAGCAUCAAAGUCCUCAGAGGUUGAUUCAUCACUCAAAAUUGUUUUGAGAGCAUGAAGCACUCUCUUGUUAAGUGCUUCAGCAUCUAGAGCAAUGAGAUCAGGAACUCCAGAUGCCUGUUCCUCUGGUGGAAGGUUCACUGACAAAUAAGAGUGUGCAUGAUUAAAGAAAAAAAGGUAAAACAUUAAACAUUAUUUUAAAAAUCUUUAAUUAUUCAUUCAUAAAUAUCAUGUUUUGGGAAAAUUUCAUUUUAAUGUAUUUUUUAAUAAAUUACUAAACCACUAAUGUAAUCCAUUAAACCAUGCCACCAAACAAAAUGCUGAAAAACUUUAAACAAUAUUGCAUUGUAUACCGAUGGAAAGAUAUUGGCUUUUCCAACGAGAGCAAAAACACUUACUUUCAUAAAUGAGUGAGAUCAAUGUCUACAGAGAAAUAACAUGAGAGUGUCUUACCAUCUGUCUGCUCUAUUUUUUUCAUUGAAAGUUUCUUUUCUUUCCCAUUUUUUGUUUUCCUCCUGACCGAAAAGCUUGUCUUUUUCGUGUGCUUAAACUCCAUCCUUGACUGACACAAAUAAAAAGCUUCCCUGUCACACAAAAUAUAUAUGAGUAAAUAACGAGCUUGCAGGAAAAGCAGGUUUAUUACUGGAAGAUAAUGAAUAAACAUUCCAGCCAUUGGGUUGGCAGCUUACCAACUGGCUGUUUAAGGCGUUAAGGCUAUGACAGCAUUUAAGAG